RNAcentral lists this ribosomal RNA (495 nucleotides) under uncultured bacterium. Its description in RNAcentral is "partial 16S ribosomal RNA". It matches the Rfam family "Bacterial small subunit ribosomal RNA", at positions 28 to 507 of the family's 1533-position model. The record is from RNAcentral.
GACGAACGCUGGCGGCGUGCCUAAUACAUGCAAGUAGAACGCUGAAGGAGGAGCUUGCUUCUCUGGAUGAGUUGCGAACGGGUGAGUAACGCGUAGGUAACCUGCCUGGUAGCGGGGGACAACUAUUGGAAACGAUAGCCAAUACCGCAUAAGAGUAGAUGUCGCAUGACAUUUGCUUAAAAGGUGCAAUUGCAUCACUACCAGAUGGACCUGCGUUGUAUUAGCUAGUUGGUGAGGUAACGGCUCACCAAGGCAACGAUACAUAGCCGACCUGAGAGGGUGAUCGGCCACACUGGGACUGAGACACGGCCCAGACUCCUACGGGAGGCAGCAGUAGGGAAUCUUCGGCAAUGGACGGAAGGCUGACCGAGCAACGCCGCGUGAGGGAAGAAGGGUUUCGGAUCGUAAAGCUCUGUUGUAAGAGAAGAACGAGUGUGAGAGUGGAAAGUUCACACUGUGACGGUAUCUUAACAGAAAGGGACGGCUAACUACGUG